RNAcentral lists this ribosomal RNA (586 nucleotides) under uncultured bacterium. RNAcentral describes it as "partial 16S ribosomal RNA". It matches the Rfam family "Bacterial small subunit ribosomal RNA", at positions 355 to 1375 of the family's 1533-position model. The record is from RNAcentral.
UGGGGAAUUUUGGACAAUGGGCGAAAGCCUGAUCCAGCAAUGCCGCGUGUGUGAAGAAGGCCUUCGGGUUGUAAAGCACUUUUGUCCGGAAAGAAAUCCUUGGCUCUAAUACAGUCGGGGGAUGACGGUACCGGAAGAAUAAGCACCGGCUAACUACGUGCCAGCAGCCGCGGUAAUACGUAGGGUGCAAGCGUUAAUCGGAAUUACUGGGCGUAAAGCGUGCGCAGGCGGUUUGCUAAGACCGAUGUGAAAUCCCCGGGCUCAACCUGGGAACUGCAUUGGUGACUGGCAGGCUAGAGUAUGGCAGAGGGGGGUAGAAUUCCACGUGUAGCAGUGAAAUGCGUAGAGAUGUGGAGGAAUACCGAUGGCGAAGGCAGCCCCCUGGGCCAAUACUGACGCUCAUGCACGAAAGCGUGGGGAGCAAACAGUAUUAGAUACCCUGGUAGUCCACGCCCUAAAACGAUGUCAACUAGUUGUUGGGGAUUCAUUUCCUUAGUAACGUAGCUAACGCGUGAAGUUGACCGCCUGGGGAGUACGGUCGCAAGAUUAAAACUCAAAUGAAUUGACGGGGUCAUAGCUGUUUCCU